This 497-nucleotide ribosomal RNA is filed under the name uncultured bacterium. RNAcentral describes it as "partial 16S ribosomal RNA". It matches the Rfam family "Bacterial small subunit ribosomal RNA", at positions 28 to 507 of the family's 1533-position model. The record is from RNAcentral.
GAUGAACGCUGGCGGCGUGCCUAAUACAUGCAAGUCGAGCGAACGGACGAGAAGCUUGCUUCUCUGAUGUUAGCGGCGGACGGGUGAGUAACACGUGGAUAACCUACCUAUAAGACUGGGAUAACUUCGGGAAACCGGAGCUAAUACCGGAUAAUAUUUUGAACCGCAUGGUUCAAAAGUAAAAGACGGUCUUGCUGUCACUUAUAGAUGGAUCCGCGCUGCAUUAGCUAGUUGGUAAGGUAACGGCUUACCAAGGCAACGAUGCAUAGCCGACCUGAGAGGGUGAUCGGCCACACUGGAACUGAGACACGGUCCAGACUCCUACGGGAGGCAGCAGUAGGGAAUCUUCCGCAAUGGGCGAAAGCCUGACGGAGCAACGCCGCGUGAGUGAUGAAGGUCUUCGGAUCGUAAAACUCUGUUAUUAGGGAAGAACAUAUGUGUAAGUAACUGUGCACAUCUUGACGGUACCUAAUCAGAAAGUCACGGCUAACUACGUG